CAGUAGCCGCGGGAAUACGUAGGGUGCAAGCGUUAAUCGGAAUUACUGGGCGUAAAGCGUGCGCAGGCGGUUAUAUAAGACAGAUGUGAAAUCCCCGGGCUCAACCUGGGAACUGCAUUUGUGACUGUAUAGCUAGAGUACGGCAGAGGGGGAUGGAAUUCCGCGUGUAGCAGUGAAAUGCGUAGAUAUGCGGAGGAACACCGAUGGCGAAGGCAAUCCCCUGGGCCUGUACUGACGCUCAUGCACGAAAGCGUGGGGAGCAAACAGUAUUAGAUACCCCUGUAGUCCUGUCUCUUAUACC
This 301-nucleotide ribosomal RNA is filed under the name uncultured bacterium. RNAcentral describes it as "partial 16S ribosomal RNA". It matches the Rfam family "Bacterial small subunit ribosomal RNA", at positions 509 to 808 of the family's 1533-position model. The record is from RNAcentral.